GACGAACGCUGGCGGCGUGCUUAACACAUGCAAGUCGAACGGAAAGGCCCUGCUUUUGUGGGGUGCUCGAGUGGCGAACGGGUGAGUAACACGUGAGUAACCUGCCCUUGACUUUGGGAUAACUUCAGGAAACUGGGGCUAAUACCGGAUAGGAGCCCCUGCUGCAUGGUGGGGGUUGGAAAGUUUCGGCGGUUGGGGAUGGACUCGCGGCUUAUCAGCUUGUUGGUGGGGUAGUGGCUUACCAAGGCUUUGACGGGUAGCCGGCCUGAGAGGGUGACCGGCCACAUUGGGACUGAGAGACGGCCCAGACUCCUACGGGAGGCAGAAGUGGGGAAUAUUGCACAAUGGGCGGAAGCCUGAUGCAGCAACGCCGCGUGCGGGAUGACGGCCUUCGGGUUGUAAACCGCUUUCGCCUGUGACGAAGCGUGAGUGACGGUAAUGGGUAAAGAAGCACCGGCUAACUACGUG
This 468-nucleotide ribosomal RNA is filed under the name uncultured bacterium. Its description in RNAcentral is "partial 16S ribosomal RNA". It matches the Rfam family "Bacterial small subunit ribosomal RNA", at positions 28 to 507 of the family's 1533-position model. The record is from RNAcentral.